RNAcentral lists this ribosomal RNA (1246 nucleotides) under Pepper yellow disease phytoplasma. Its description in RNAcentral is "bacterial SSU rRNA". It matches the Rfam family "Bacterial small subunit ribosomal RNA", at positions 153 to 1399 of the family's 1533-position model. Lineage: Bacteria; Bacillati; Mycoplasmatota; Mollicutes; Acholeplasmatales; Acholeplasmataceae. The record is from RNAcentral.
GAAACGACUGCUAAGACUGGAUAGGAGACAAGAAGGCAUCUUCUUGUUUUUAAAAGACCUAGCAAUAGGUAUGCUUAGGGAGGAGCUUGCGUCACAUUAGUUAGUUGGUGGGGUAAAGGCCUACCAAGACUAUGAUGUGUAGCCGGGCUGAGAGGUUGAACGGCCACAUUGGGACUGAGACACGGCCCAAACUCCUACGGGAGGCAGCAGUAGGGAAUUUUCGGCAAUGGAGGAAACUCUGACCGAGCAACGCCGCGUGAACGAUGAAGUAUUUCGGUACGUAAAGUUCUUUUAUUAGGGAAGAAUAAAUGAUGGAAAAAUCAUUCUGACGGUACCUAAUGAAUAAGCCCCGGCUAACUAUGUGCCAGCAGCCGCGGUAAUACAUAGGGGGCAAGCGUUAUCCGGAAUUAUUGGGCGUAAAGGGUGCGUAGGCGGUUAAAUAAGUUUAUGGUCUAAGUGCAAUGCUCAACAUUGUGAUGCUAUAAAAACUGUUUAGCUAGAGUAAGAUAGAGGCAAGUGGAAUUCCAUGUGUAGUGGUAAAAUGCGUAAAUAUAUGGAGGAACACCAGUAGCGAAGGCGGCUUGCUGGGUCUUUACUGACGCUGAGGCACGAAAGCGUGGGGAGCAAACAGGAUUAGAUACCCUGGUAGUCCACGCCGUAAACGAUGAGUACUAAACGUUGGGUAAAACCAGUGUUGAAGUUAACACAUUAAGUACUCCGCCUGAGUAGUACGUACGCAAGUAUGAAACUUAAAGGAAUUGACGGGACUCCGCACAAGCGGUGGAUCAUGUUGUUUAAUUCGAAGGUACCCGAAAAACCUCACCAGGUCUUGACAUGCUUCUGCAAAGCUGUAGAAACACAGUGGAGGUUAUCAGUUGCACAGGUGGUGCAUGGUUGUCGUCAGCUCGUGUCGUGAGAUGUUGGGUUAAGUCCCGCAACGAGCGCAACCCUUAUUGUUAGUUACCAGCACGUAAUGGUGGGGACUUUAGCAAGACUGCCAGUGAUAAAUUGGAGGAAGGUUGGGACGACGUCAAAUCAUCAUGCCCCUUAUGACCUGGGCUACAAACGUGAUACAAUGGCUGUUACAAAGGGUAGCUGAAGCGCAAGUUUUUGGCGAAUCUCAAAAAAACAGUCUCAGUUCGGAUUGAAGUCUGCAACUCGACUUCAUGAAGUUGGAAUCGCUAGUAAUCGCGAAUCAGCAUGUCGCGGUGAAUACGUUCACGGGGUUUGUACACACCGCCCGUCA